UGAGGAAUAUUGGUCAAUGGGCGCAAGCCUGAACCAGCCAUCCCGCGUGCAGGAAGAAGGCGCUAUGCGUCGUAAACUGCUUUUCCAGGGGAAGGAAACCCUCGACGUGUCGAGGCUUGCCGGUACCUUGGGAAUAAGCAUCGGCUAACUCCGUGCCAGCAGCCGCGGUAAUACGGAGGAUGCGAGCGUUAUCCGGAUUUAUUGGGUUUAAAGGGUGCGUAGGCGGAUUAAUAAGUCAGCGGUGAAAACCUUCAGCUUAACUGGAGAAUUGCCAUUGAUACUGUUAGUCUUGAGUACGGUCAAGGUAGGCGGAAUGUGUAAUGUAGCGGUGAAAUGCUUAGAUAUUACACAGAACACCGAUUGCGAAGGCAGCUUACUGGACCAUUACUGACGCUGAGGCACGAAAGCGUGGGGAGCGAACA
This 422-nucleotide ribosomal RNA is filed under the name uncultured prokaryote. Its description in RNAcentral is "bacterial SSU rRNA". It matches the Rfam family "Bacterial small subunit ribosomal RNA", at positions 355 to 774 of the family's 1533-position model. The record is from RNAcentral.